UAGCCAUAGUGUGGGAAAGCAAAAGGUAAUUCCUUGAACCGUUCCCAACAUUCAAAAAAAGUUUCAUCCCCUUUUUGGGAUAAAAUCAUUAUGUCACGUAUGGGAGU
This is a small nucleolar RNA of Magnolia sinica, 107 nucleotides long. Lineage: Eukaryota; Viridiplantae; Streptophyta; Magnoliopsida; Magnoliales; Magnoliaceae. The record is from RefSeq and is a predicted model, not a curated record.